This 253-nucleotide ribosomal RNA is filed under the name uncultured bacterium. Its description in RNAcentral is "partial 16S ribosomal RNA". It matches the Rfam family "Bacterial small subunit ribosomal RNA", at positions 524 to 776 of the family's 1533-position model. The record is from RNAcentral.
UACGUAGGGUGCAAGCGUUAAUCGGAAUUACUGGGCGUAAAGCGUGCGCAGGCGGUUUUGUAAGUCUGAUGUGAAAUCCCCGGGCUUAACCUGGGAAUUGCAUUGGAGACUGCAAGGCUGGAGUCUGGCAGAGGGGGGUAGAAUUCCACGUGUAGCAGUGAAAUGCGUAGAGAUGUGGAGGAACACCGAUGGCGAAGGCAGCCCCCUGGGUCAAGACUGACGCUCAUGCACGAAAGCGUGGGGAGCAAACAGG